RNAcentral lists this long non-coding RNA (423 nucleotides) under Nicotiana benthamiana. Its description in RNAcentral is "long non-coding RNA (NBEN_LNC025831)". The record is from RNAcentral. Lineage: Eukaryota; Viridiplantae; Streptophyta; Magnoliopsida; Solanales; Solanaceae.
AGUGUCACAGUGUAGUGAUACAGAAAACUCAGCAGGUCCAAAGCAGGACAACACCCUCUCGACCAUGGCAGUAAAGUUUAUGGCUUUGAAAUCAUAACCUACUGCUUCAAAACUUGCAUAGCUGAAUCCAUCCUCAGGGGUGACAUGAAUUGUAGAGAUUGCUGGCCCCUCGGAGGUAGCGUUCAUUGAGUAACCGCAAGGGUCAAAGUCAAAGUCGCAUAUAUUUGGUUCUGGAAGAAUUUUCUGAAUGCCUGAAAUUUCAGUCAUCUCAGCAGCAGUGCUUGAUUGAGUCUUGAAAAAUACGGAUGCCUUCUUCUUGUCGAGACUAGUCAUGCACAUCUCCAGUGUAUAAACUGGAUUCGGGUUAUUGGCAUUGGCAGAUUCAGCUGAAGCAGAAUAGACAUGCCAGUUCUGUUGUUUAUC